AUCCUAUGGUGAGGACAGGCGGCGACAUAUUCCUGCAGACGUUCCCAUGCCUCUGGAAUGGACUCAUCCCUCGUAUGCUAGAAGCUUGAGAUUCUUCCACGAAGGGC
This is a small nucleolar RNA of Leersia perrieri, 107 nucleotides long. It matches the Rfam family "Plant small nucleolar RNA R71". Rfam says of the family: R71 is a member of the C/D box family of snoRNAs containing the C (UGAUGA) and D (CUGA) box motifs. Multiple nearly identical copies of this snoRNA have been identified in Arabidopsis, and it is thought to function as a 2'-O-ribose methylation guide for 18S ribosomal RNA. The record is from Rfam. NCBI's taxonomy places the organism in Eukaryota, Viridiplantae, Streptophyta, Magnoliopsida, Poales, Poaceae.